UCUCUCAUGGUGUAGUGGUUAUCAUUCUCGCUUGUCACGCGGGGGACCAGGGUUCGAUUCCCUGUGAGAGAG
This is a transfer RNA of Nematocida parisii ERTm3, 72 nucleotides long. It matches the Rfam family "tRNA". From Rfam's summary of the family: Transfer RNA (tRNA) molecules are approximately 80 nucleotides in length. Their secondary structure includes four short double-helical elements and three loops (D, anti-codon, and T loops). Further hydrogen bonds mediate the characteristic L-shaped molecular structure. tRNAs have two regions of fundamental functional importance: the anti-codon, which is responsible for specific mRNA codon recognition, and the 3' end, to which the tRNAs corresponding amino acid is attached (by aminoacyl-tRNA synthetases). tRNAs cope with the degeneracy of the genetic code in two manners: having more than one tRNA (with a specific anti-codon) for a particular amino acid; and 'wobble' base-pairing, i.e. permitting non-standard base-pairing at the 3rd anti-codon position. The record is from Rfam. NCBI's taxonomy places the organism in Eukaryota, Fungi, Microsporidia.